RNAcentral lists this ribosomal RNA (408 nucleotides) under uncultured bacterium. RNAcentral's name for it is "partial 16S ribosomal RNA". It matches the Rfam family "Bacterial small subunit ribosomal RNA", at positions 28 to 526 of the family's 1533-position model. The record is from RNAcentral.
GACGUACGCUGGCGGCGUGCUUAACACAUGCAAGUCGAACGGAGUGGCGAACGGGUGAGUAACACGCGGGUGAUCUGCCUUGCACUUCGGGAUAAGCUUGGGAAACUGGGUCUAAUACCGGAUAGUGCAAGAUGAGCUCGCGGCCUAUCAGCUUGUUGGUGGGGUAAUGGCCUACCAAGGCGUCGACGGGUAGCCGGCCUGAGAGGGUGUACGGCAACAUUGGUACUUAGAUGCUGCCCAGACUCCUACGGGAGGCAGCAGGGGGGAAUAUUGCACCAGGGGCGGAAGUCUGAUGCAGCGACGCCGCGUGGGGGAUGAAGGCCUGCGUGUUGUAAACUCCUCUCGACAGGGACGCGGUACCUGUAUAAGAGGCACCGGCUAAGUACGUGCCGGCAGCCGCGGUAAUAC